GCAUCAAUGGGGUAGUGGUAACCUGGGUCGUUGCCAUUGAUUGAUGUGCCGGUUUAUACGUAUUUCGAUCCGCCGGUGGUUCGAUUCCCACUUGAUGCA
This 99-nucleotide transfer RNA is filed under the name Armillaria solidipes. Its description in RNAcentral is "tRNA-Gly". It matches the Rfam family "tRNA". Rfam says of the family: Transfer RNA (tRNA) molecules are approximately 80 nucleotides in length. Their secondary structure includes four short double-helical elements and three loops (D, anti-codon, and T loops). Lineage: Eukaryota; Fungi; Basidiomycota; Agaricomycetes; Agaricales; Physalacriaceae. The record is from RNAcentral.